UGGAGAUAGGUGAACAUGCAGUUGUAGCUAGUUAAUAAAGAGUUAUGUUAAGAAACAUCCUGUAGUUCUGCGUUUUAUUAUUUUGUACAAAAUAAGACAUGGUGUCAGAGUAAAUGGUCUUAAAAUAUGGAUUUUUCUGGAGUAACUUCACCUCGAAUGGACUGGGAGUCUACAAACUUACCCGAUGCAUGGCGUAAGUACAAACAGCAUGUGGAGCUAAUUUUCACGGGUCCUCUGAAGGCAAGAGGAGAAGAGGAAAAAUGCAGCUACCUGCUCCUCUGGAUCGGUGAAAAAGGGAGAGAUAUUUACCACACGUGGACACUUACCGAGGCUGAAUCAAAGGAGCCCAGAACAAAGAGAGGAGGGUAAGGAUCUAUAAGUUCCAGCUGCAGCACUUCAGACACCUAGUGCUUUAACAUCACCAUCAAGAUCACCUAGAACAUCCUAGGAAAUGUCAGUUAGUUGCAACAUCUGAGUUCAAAUGUAUGCUUUGUGGAUGGGGAGCUGCCCCUGGAAUGUGAUGGGGCGGCGGUGCUAGCUGAGACCUUUUGGGAUCCUCAGCCUCAAGGAGAUCAAGCCGUCAGCGCUGAGUGGGGCGGCAGGGGCUGGUGGCAAACGAGUAGAUUGCCAUGACCAAGGUGGACCAGAAGAAGGUGGUUUCAUAGUACUUAAAACCACAACUUGUGUUCCAAGCCACUAGAGGGCGCCAAUGGCUAACUGACAAACCCCCAUCCAUCCUUUCAUCCACCCACAUCCAGAAGAAAGAUUUCAUCGAUAACAUGAUUCCCAUCAUCAUCAAUCUGAAGAGCAUGCUGAAACAGAAGCGCUGGCCAGUUCUGAAGGACAUCAUGGGCUCCCUCCAGACCAUUUCCGGAGACCUUCUCCCUUACCUCACCUCGCUCAUCAACUCAUCCUUGACCGCUGGCUACGUCCCUUCCGUCUUCAAGAGAGCGAGAGUUGCACCCCUUCUGAAAAAAC
Long non-coding RNA from Salmo salar (Atlantic salmon), 978 nucleotides. RefSeq lists it as uncharacterized. The record is from RefSeq and is a predicted model, not a curated record. Lineage: Eukaryota; Metazoa; Chordata; Actinopteri; Salmoniformes; Salmonidae.